GGGGAUAAGCGGCGGAAACGCCGUCUAAUACCGCGUGACAACCCGAGGGGGCAUCCCCUUGGGUUCAAAGGAGAGAUCCGGUACCGGCUGGGCAUGCGGCGCAUUAGCUAGUUGGCGGGGCAACGGCCCACCAAGGCGACGAUGCGUAGGGGUUCUGAGAGGAAGGUCCCCCACACUGGAACUGAGACACGGUCCAGACUCCUACGGGAGGCAGCAGUGAGGAAUAUUGGUCAAUGGGCGCAAGCCUGAACCAGCCAAGUCGCGUGAGGGAAGACGGCCCUACGGGUUGUAAACCUCUUUUGCCGGGGAGCAAGCCUGAGCACGUGUGCCCAGGCGGAGAGUACCCGGAGAAAAAGCAUCGGCUAACUCCGUGCCAGCAGCCGCGGUAAUACGGAGGAUGCGAGCGUUAUCCGGAUUUAUUGGGUUUAAAGGGUGCGCAGGCGGGCUGUUAAGCCGGCGGUAAAAAUUCAGGGCUCAACCCUGUCGAGCCGUCGGAACUGGCAGUCUUGAGUGGGCGAGAAGUAUGCGGAAUGCGUGGUGUAGCGGUGAAAUGCAUAGAUAUCACGCAGAACGCCGAUUGCGAAGGCAGCAUACCGGCGCCCAACUGACGCUGAGGCACGAAAGCGUGGGGAUCGAACAGGAUUGGAUACCCUGGUAGUCCACGCAGUAAACG
RNAcentral lists this ribosomal RNA (673 nucleotides) under uncultured bacterium. RNAcentral describes it as "bacterial SSU rRNA". It matches the Rfam family "Bacterial small subunit ribosomal RNA", at positions 139 to 808 of the family's 1533-position model. The record is from RNAcentral.